GGCCCUGAUUUUUUUAUGUUUUUUAAAUUGGGGCAAAAAAUUACAAAUGUCACAUAAAAAUACUUGUGAUAAUACUACUAAGACAACAAUCUUUUUUCUGGCACUUUCCUUUACUAUUUCUGGAGCAAUGACCCCUUAAAUGAGCAUAAUUUGUAUUAAAAGGUCAAUUUUGGUACUUUUUGUCCAUAAUUUUAAUUGUUUUUGGCAUAAUCAAC
RNAcentral lists this long non-coding RNA (215 nucleotides) under Mytilus galloprovincialis (Mediterranean mussel). Lineage: Eukaryota; Metazoa; Mollusca; Bivalvia; Mytilida; Mytilidae. The record is from RNAcentral.